AGAGUUUGAUCCUGGCUCAGGACGAACGCUGGCGGCGCGCCUAACACAUGCAAGUCGAACGAGCGAGAGAGAGCUUGCUUUCUCAAGCGAGUGGCGAACGGGUGAGUAACGCGUGAGGAACCUGCCUCAAAGAGGGGGACAACAGUUGGAAACGACUGCUAAUACCGCAUAAGCCCACAGCUCGGCAUCGAGCAGAGGGAAAAGGAGCAAUCCGCUUUGAGAUGGCCUCGCGUCCGAUUAGCUAGUUGGUGAGGUAACGGCCCACCAAGGCGACGAUCGGUAGCCGGACUGAGAGGUUGAACGGCCACAUAGGGACUGAGACACGGCCCAGACUCCUACGGGAGGCAGCAGUGGGGAAUAUUGCACAAUGGGGGAAACCCUGAUGCAGCGACGCCGCGUGGAGGAAGAAGGUCUUCGGAUUGUAAACUCCUGUUGUUGAGGAAGAUAAUGACGGUACUCAACAAGGAAGUGACGGCUAACUACGUGCCAGCAGCCGCGGUAAAACGUAGGUCACAAGCGUUGUCCGGAAUUACUGGGUGUAAAGGGAGCGCAGGCGGGAAAGCAAGUUGGAAGUGAAAUCCAUGGGCUCAACCCAUGAACUGCUUUCAAAACUGUUUUUCUUGAGUAGUGCAGAGGUAGGCGGAAUUCCCGGUGUAGCGGUGGAAUGCGUAGAUAUCGGGAGGAACACCAGUGGCGAAGGCGGCCUACUGGGCACCAACUGACGCUGAGGCUCGAAAGUGUGGGUAGCAAACAGGAUUAGAUACCCUGGUAGUCCACACUGUAAACGAUGAUUACUAGGUGUUGGAGGAUUGACCCCUUCAGUGCCGCAGUUAACACAAUAAGUAAUCCACCUGGGGAGUACGACCGCAAGGUUGAAACUCAAAGGAAUUGACGGGGGCCCGCACAAGCAGUGGAGUAUGUGGUUUAAUUCGACGCAACGCGAAGAACCUUACCAAGUCUUGACAUCCUGCGACGGUGCUGGAAACAGUACUUUCCUUCGGGACGCAGAGACAGGUGGUGCAUGGUUGUCGUCAGCUCGUGUCGUGAGAUGUUGGGUUAAGUCCCGCAACGAGCGCAACCCUUAUGGUCAGUUACUACGCAAGAGGACUCUGGCCAGACUGCCGUUGACAAAACGGAGGAAGGUGGGGAUGACGUCAAAUCAUCAUGCCCUUUAUGACUUGGGCUACACACGUACUACAAUGGCGUUAAACAAAGAGAAGCGAGACCGCGAGGUGGAGCAAAACUCAGAAACAACGUCCCAGUUCGGACUGCAGGCUGCAACUCGCCUGCACGAAGUCGGAAUUGCUAGUAAUCGCAGAUCAGCAUGCUGCGGUGAAUACGUUCCNCGGGCCAUUGUACACACGGCCCGUNNC
RNAcentral lists this ribosomal RNA (1373 nucleotides) under uncultured bacterium. Its description in RNAcentral is "bacterial SSU rRNA". It matches the Rfam family "Bacterial small subunit ribosomal RNA". The record is from RNAcentral.